This 254-nucleotide ribosomal RNA is filed under the name uncultured bacterium. RNAcentral describes it as "partial 16S ribosomal RNA". It matches the Rfam family "Bacterial small subunit ribosomal RNA", at positions 524 to 776 of the family's 1533-position model. The record is from RNAcentral.
CACGUAGGGGGCGAGCGUUGUCCGGAUUUAUUGGGCGUAAAGAGCUCGUAGGCGGCUCAGUAAGUCGGGUGUGAAAACUCCAGGCUCAACCUGGAGACGCCACCCGAUACUGCUGUGGCUAGAGUCCGGUAGGGGAGCAUGGAAUUCCUGGUGUAGCGGUGAAAUGCGCAGAUAUCAGGAAGAACACCCGUGGCUAAGGCGGCUCUCUAGUACGGUACUGACGCUGAGACGCGAAAGCGUGGGGAGCGAACAGG